This 446-nucleotide ribosomal RNA is filed under the name uncultured bacterium. RNAcentral describes it as "bacterial SSU rRNA". It matches the Rfam family "Bacterial small subunit ribosomal RNA", at positions 30 to 473 of the family's 1533-position model. The record is from RNAcentral.
AUUGAACGCUGGCGGCAUGCCUUACACAUGCAAGUCGAACGGCAGCACGGGCGCUUGCUCCUGGUGGCGAGUGGCGAACGGGUGAGUAAUACAUCGGAACGUACCCUGAAGUGGGGGAUAACGUAGCGAAAGUUACGCUAAUACCGCAUAUGCCCUAAGGGGGAAAGCGGGGGACUCGCAAGAACCUCGCGUUUUCGGAGCGGCCGAUAUCGGAUUAGCUAGUAGGUGAGGUAAAGGCUCACCUAGGCGACGAUCCGUAGCUGGUCUGAGAGGACGACCAGCCACACUGGAACUGAGACACGGUCCAGACUCCUACGGGAGGCAGCAGUGGGGGAAUUUUGGACAAUGGGCGCAAGCCUGAUCCAGCAAUGCCGCGUGAGUGAAGAAGGCCUCGGUGUAAGACGUCUUCUAGUUGUAAAGAAAAAGUAACGUAGACGUAAUAAUAC